UCUACUUCUCUAAUUGCUAUCUAAUCAAACCUCUAAACUCGAAGGAUUAGGGAGUAGCUAAUUCUAAUUCUCUGUGGGAGAGAAGCUCUAAACCUUAACUUUGAUGGCUACCUCUGCAUAAUGAUUUCUUCUCAUCUCCUCCCUCCUCCAGGGGUGGAGAGGCCUUGGUUAUAUAGUCUUUUCAAGUGAAUUUGGGCCGUCGGAUCAAACCGAC
This 214-nucleotide long non-coding RNA is filed under the name Sorghum bicolor (sorghum). Its description in RNAcentral is "long non-coding RNA (SBIC_LNC001081)". Lineage: Eukaryota; Viridiplantae; Streptophyta; Magnoliopsida; Poales; Poaceae. The record is from RNAcentral.